GCUUACGGCCACACCGCCUGGUUCACGCCCGAUCUCGUUUGAUUUCGGGAGCUAAGAUAGGUUGGGCCUGGGUUAGUACUUGGAUGGGAGACCGCCUGGGAAUACCAGGUGCUGUAAGGG
Molecule: ribosomal RNA, 120 nt
Filed under: Scophthalmus maximus (turbot)
Lineage: Eukaryota; Metazoa; Chordata; Actinopteri; Pleuronectiformes; Scophthalmidae
Source: RNAcentral